RNAcentral lists this ribosomal RNA (440 nucleotides) under uncultured bacterium. RNAcentral's name for it is "partial 16S ribosomal RNA". It matches the Rfam family "Bacterial small subunit ribosomal RNA", at positions 338 to 795 of the family's 1533-position model. The record is from RNAcentral.
CCUACGGGUGGCAGCAGUGGAGGAUCUUGCACAAUGGGGGAAACCCUGAUGCUGCGACGCCGCGUGGGUGAAGGAGGAUUUCGGUAUGUAAAGCUCUAGCAGCAGGGGAGAAAAUGACAGUAACUGAACAAGAAGCCGCGGCUAACUAGGUCCCAGCAGCCGCGGUAAUACGGAGGGAGCAAGCGUUAUCCGGAUUCACUGGGUGUAAAGGGAGCGUAGACGGUUACGUAAGUGGGGGGUGAAAGUCCGGGGCCCAACCCCGGGACUGCAUUGGAAAAUGUGUAACUGGAGUACAGGAGGGGCAGGCGGAAGUCUCGGUGUAGCAGUGAAAUGCGUAGAUAUCAGGAGGAACACCGGCGGCGAAGGCGGCCUGCUGGACUGAAACUGACGUUGAGGCUCGAAGGCGUGGGGAGCAAACGGGAUUAGAUACCCGUGUAGUC